AUCCCAUGAUGCAGGCACUUCCUUAGCAGGUCUUUAAAUCUCUCCCCUGCCUCAUAUAAAGAUUCAUUAUCCAACUAGUAGAAAUUGUUGAUCUCCCCCCUCAGUUU
Small nucleolar RNA from Humulus lupulus (European hop), 107 nucleotides. Lineage: Eukaryota; Viridiplantae; Streptophyta; Magnoliopsida; Rosales; Cannabaceae. The record is from RefSeq and is a predicted model, not a curated record.